CCUACGGGAGGCAGCAGUGAGGAAUAUUGGUCACUGGACGAGAGUCUGAACCAGCCAAGUAGCGUGAAGGAUGACUGCCCUAUGGGUUGUAAACUUCUUUUAUAUGGGAAUAAAACGUUCCAUGUGUGGGAUUUUGUAUGUACCAUAUGAAUAAGGAUCGGCUAACUCCGUGCCAGCAGCCGCGGUAAUACGGAGGAUCCGAGCGUUAUCCGGAUUUAUUGGGUUUAAAGGGAGCGUAGGUGGAUUGGUAAGUCAGUUGGGAAAGUUUGCGGCUCAACCGUAAAAUUGCAGUUGAAACUGGCAGUCUUGAGUACAGUAGAGGUGGGCGGAAUCCGUGGUGUAGCGGUGAAAUGCUGAGAUAUCACGAAGAACUCCGAUUGCGAAGGCAGUUCACUGGACUGCAACUGACACUGAGGCUCGAAAGUGUGGGUAUCAAACAGGAUUAGAUACCCGGGUAGUC
This 460-nucleotide ribosomal RNA is filed under the name uncultured bacterium. RNAcentral's name for it is "partial 16S ribosomal RNA". It matches the Rfam family "Bacterial small subunit ribosomal RNA", at positions 338 to 795 of the family's 1533-position model. The record is from RNAcentral.